GCAUGACCAAAAAAAGUAUUUUCAUAGUGUUCCAUGCAAGAACAAACUGUGAUCCUGAACCAUUACCUGGCCUCCACCUGUGGGUUACUGGCGCUGAAGGAGGUUGCACAGAG
This 113-nucleotide small nucleolar RNA is filed under the name Dipodomys ordii (Ord's kangaroo rat). RNAcentral's name for it is "Small nucleolar RNA SNORA42/SNORA80 family (ENSDORG00000019879.2)". The record is from RNAcentral. Lineage: Eukaryota; Metazoa; Chordata; Mammalia; Rodentia; Heteromyidae.